CUUCUCAUUUAUUUGUUGCUAUAGUUUCACAAUGAUAUGAGCUGUUAUAUGCAUGGGAUAAAGUAAUAUUGGGCCAUUAUAAAUGAAGAGCGAAAUAACCAUUUUCAUCUCUUUUGCCUAGACUAGACAUUG
RNAcentral lists this small nucleolar RNA (132 nucleotides) under Prolemur simus (greater bamboo lemur). RNAcentral's name for it is "Small nucleolar RNA SNORA20 (ENSPSMG00000003618.1)". It matches the Rfam family "Small nucleolar RNA SNORA20". From Rfam's summary of the family: ACA20 is a member of the H/ACA class of snoRNA that guide the sites of modification of uridines to pseudouridines. Lineage: Eukaryota; Metazoa; Chordata; Mammalia; Primates; Lemuridae. The record is from Rfam by way of RNAcentral.